This 495-nucleotide ribosomal RNA is filed under the name uncultured bacterium. Its description in RNAcentral is "partial 16S ribosomal RNA". It matches the Rfam family "Bacterial small subunit ribosomal RNA", at positions 28 to 508 of the family's 1533-position model. The record is from RNAcentral.
GACGAACGCUGGCGGCGUGCUUAACACAUGCAAGUCGAACGGUGAAGCGCCUUCCUUUUUGGUGGGUGUGGAUGAGUGGCGAACGGGUGAGUAACACGUGAGUAACCUGCCCCCUUCUUCUGGAUAACCGCAUGAAAGUGUGGCUAAUACGGGAUAUUCUGGGUCUGUCGCAUGAUGGGUCUGGGAAAGAUAUUGUUUCGGUGGGGGAUGGGCUCGCGGCCUAUCAGCUUGUUGGUGGGGUGAUGGCCUACCAAGGCGGUGACGGGUAGCCGGCCUGAGAGGGUGGGCCGGCACACUGGGGCCGGGAACCGGCCCAGGACCCUACGGGGGGGCGGAGGGGGGAAUUAGGGAACAUUGGGGGAAGGCGGAUGGCAGGGCCGCGCGUGAGGGGAGGGGGGCCUGCGGGUGGUAACCUCCUUUGCCAGUUGAACAAGGCUGGCUUGUUUUUUGGGGGGGUUACGGUAGCUGGAUAAGAAGCGCCGGCUAACUACGUGC